This 274-nucleotide ribosomal RNA is filed under the name uncultured bacterium. Its description in RNAcentral is "partial 16S ribosomal RNA". It matches the Rfam family "Archaeal small subunit ribosomal RNA", at positions 473 to 747 of the family's 1478-position model. The record is from RNAcentral.
AAACCAGCACCUCAAGUGGUCAGGAGGAUUAUUGGGCCUAAAGCAUCCGUAGCCUGCUCUGUAAGUUUCCGGUUAAAUCCAUUAGCUCAACUAAUGGCCUGCCGGAAAUACUGCAGAGCUAGGAAGUGGGAGAGGUAGACGGUACUCGGUAGGAAGGGGUAAAAUCCUUUGAUCUAUUGAUGACCACCUGUGGCGAAGGCGGUCUACCAGAACACGUUCGACGGUGAGGGAUGAAAGCUUGGGGAGCAAACCGGAUUAGAUACCCGGGUAGUCC